This is a long non-coding RNA of Austrofundulus limnaeus, 500 nucleotides long. RefSeq lists it as uncharacterized. The record is from RefSeq and is a predicted model, not a curated record. NCBI's taxonomy places the organism in Eukaryota, Metazoa, Chordata, Actinopteri, Cyprinodontiformes, Rivulidae. The transcript has 2 exons.
UUUAUUUUAUUUUAUUUUAUUCUGGUACAGCUGGACUCCACUUACAACAAAAAGGUCGUAGGAGUGGAGGCCGCAGCUUUGAAGGUUCGUCAGAGAGGCUACAGGAGGUUCCAUUUGAGUCUCGUUUCUCUGCUGCAGUUCUGCAACAGAGCAGAGAGAAGACAGAACCGUGGAGCACCGGUCCAAGCACUGAGGCCUCCUUUUUUUUUUUGAGUCUCCUGCUUUAAUCAGCUCCACCCUCUGCUGUUCAUUUCUCACAUCUUCCAGUUGCUCCUCAACCAAUCUUCACACUUCCCUUCUCCUUCCCUCUUGGAGUCGAGUCUUGGAUCGAUGCAUCAUUGAUUUUCCUAUCAAUGAACAUUAGUUUGGAUCAGACCUCUGUUUGCUACGUCCUGCCCUAAAAGCUACACGCAGAAACUCAAAUCUGCACUGAUAGAGCUACCAGGGAAAGAAAAAAAAAAAAAAAGAAAUAAGGCACAGGAGCCAGUCAAUGAGGGGCA